RNAcentral lists this ribosomal RNA (287 nucleotides) under uncultured bacterium. RNAcentral's name for it is "partial 16S ribosomal RNA". It matches the Rfam family "Bacterial small subunit ribosomal RNA", at positions 775 to 1067 of the family's 1533-position model. The record is from RNAcentral.
GGAUUAGAUACCCUGGUAGUCCACGCCGUAAACGAUGGAUACUAGCUGUUUGGAUUUCGGUCUGAGUGGCUAAGCGAAAGUGAUAAGUAUCCCACCUGGGGAGUACGUUCGCAAGAAUGAAACUCAAAGGAAUUGACGGGGGCCCGCACAAGCGGUGGAGCAUGUGGUUUAAUUCGAUGAUACGCGAGGAACCUUACCAGGGCUUAAAUGUGGUUGGACAGGUGGAUAAUUCCACCCUCCUUCGGGCUAAUCACAAGGUGCUGCAUGGUUGUCGUCAGCUCGUGCCG